RNAcentral lists this ribosomal RNA (118 nucleotides) under Lepisosteus oculatus (spotted gar). The record is from RNAcentral. Lineage: Eukaryota; Metazoa; Chordata; Actinopteri; Semionotiformes; Lepisosteidae.
UCCAGCGGCUACAUCACCCUGCAGCUCCCAGCUGGCAGCCCACUGAAGCUCAGCAGGUGUGAGCCUGGCCAGUACCUGGAGGGGAGACCUCCAGGGAAAGCUGAGGCUGCUGCUGGAA